CCUACGGGUGGCUGCAGUGAGGAAUAUUGGUCAAUGGGCGGAAGCCUGAACCAGCCAAGUAGCGUGCAGGAUGACGGCCCUACGGGUUGUAAACUGCUUUUAUACGGGAAUAAGGCGCCUUAUGUGUAGGGCUUUGCAUGUACCGUAUGAAUAAGGACCGGCUAAUUCCGUGCCAGCAGCCGCGGUACUACGGAAGGUACGGGCGUUAGCCGGAUUUAGUGGGGUUAAAGGGAGCGUAGGCCGCAUGUCAAGCGUGCUGUGAAAUGGCCGGGCUCAACCCGGGCCUUGCAGCGCAAAAUGGCGUGCUUGAGUCCGCGGAAGGCAGGCGGAAGUCGUCGGGGAGCGGUGAAAUGCUUAGAUAUGACGAAGAACCCCGAUUGCGAAGGCAGCUUGCUGCAGCGGAACUGACGCUGAUGCUCGAAAGCGCGGGUAUCGAACAGGAUUAGAUACCCCAGUAGUC
This 460-nucleotide ribosomal RNA is filed under the name uncultured bacterium. RNAcentral describes it as "partial 16S ribosomal RNA". It matches the Rfam family "Bacterial small subunit ribosomal RNA", at positions 338 to 795 of the family's 1533-position model. The record is from RNAcentral.